Parus major (Great Tit) is the source of this 2281-nucleotide long non-coding RNA. RefSeq lists it as uncharacterized. The record is from RefSeq and is a predicted model, not a curated record. The transcript has 4 exons. Lineage: Eukaryota; Metazoa; Chordata; Aves; Passeriformes; Paridae.
ACCGAGCUGGGUCCGUGGUUACUGAACGCUUUCACUGGCUGUCGGAGAGCUAGGGGAGACGGUGCCACAGGCGAGCGGAAUUUACUCGAAGAAGUACAGGAAAGAUGUGGACGUGUUGGAGCAGGUACAGAACAUGGAUGAGCAUCUCUCCUAUAAAGAAAGGUUGAGAGAUGUGGAGGUCUUCAGCUUGGAGAAGAGAAGGCACUGGGGAGAUAUUACCACAAAGUGGUAAAAAAAAAGCCAAUGUGUGUGUGGAAGGUGUCAAGCUAUGUAAUGAACAGUAUUUUAAAAAGAUGGAGUUUGAAGAAACUGUUUGGUUUUGAAGGCAGCACGAGGCAAAUUUUUCUGCCUUUGCAGAGCUGUUGAAAGACAAGAAGUGUUAUAUUUGUCUAAGAAGAUAAGAAAACUAAAUUUACUGGGAAUUUCAGAAUUGUAUCCACUUGUGAAGCGUCAAGGAACAGUUAACAUUCAAGGGCUGGUACUGCCUUGAAAUGACCUCACUACCUACCAGUUACCAAGAGAGAAGCCAAUGUUCUGAGAGCUGCAGAAUCUUGGCAUGGAGAGAAUUACUUAUUGCCAGAAGGAAUGCAUUGACUCAGCCUAUUUCAUGGCAGCACUUUUAAGGGGAGGAAGGAGGAAAGUAGUCAAUGAAAUAAAGCUUUGACUACACAGAGACUUUGUAAAAUGAUAACAUAUGAAUAAACAUCUCUGCUUAUCUCAGUGUAUGAAGUUUUAUACCAGCAUAAAACUGAUUGCACUAGCAAGGCUUAUUUCCAUAAUGAGAAGGAAGAAAGAUGGAGGAGAAGCUGUGCAAAAAGAUCCUGACCCUGAGUAAGGAACAAUCCCUUCACCAAUUACUGAAUAUCGCUAUAAAGAAGGUGGGGGGGAGCAAUUUGAAUCCUAGUAUUAGUUAGUCCUUUUGUUUGAUAGCAUGUAAUGAUUACUAUCACCUUUCCUGUGCUUCAGUCAAUGCAAAAUACACAGUAUUUUAUGAACUAUAAAAAAUUCUUCAGGUGUUUUAACAUCAUGCUGAAAUUAUGCCUAGGCAGUCUAUUCAAUUUAGUCUUAAUAACUAACUAAAAACUGUCAUAUUCAACAAACAGUAAAAAGGAAUUAGAUUGUUCAUAAACACAGUAAAAUUCUGCCUGUGCCUUCUACUAAUAAAAACCUUAUUCCUUCUAUCAACUGGAAUCUCAUGCAAAAUAGCCUGUGGCAAUAUAUAAUUCUUACUCAAAUGGUACAAGGUCUUCCUAGAAAUUUUUUUUGAAGCACACAUAUGAACAGCCAAUUAAGCACAGUAAGGUCUCUAAAUAUGAGCACAAUUCCUAGAAAUUUACUGAGGCAGACCACUGGCCAGACUGCUUCAGUCCUCAAGUAUUCCACUUUAUUAUUUUUUACCGAAUCACUGUUUUUGUUAUACCAUGAAAAAUGAAGAAAAGCUUCUUCCUUCAUAUUUUUAAUUUGUUUUGUCCUAAUCCACUCCGAUUUCAAUAUGCCACUGCACAUGGCACUUUCUUCCCCCAUCAUUAUUCACACUUCUUGUAAGUCAGAGAUAUGGGAUGAUAUGGAAAGGAUUUUAAAUAUGUAUAUAUCAAAUUCCUUCCUUCUCAAUGGAGACUCCACAAAAUAGACACUCAAUAGCAAAACAUUUCUGUGCACUGAAACACUGAAAAGAGCUUAGGCAGUACAAUUUGAGCAAUGCUGAGCAAACAUGCAGUUUGAGAUAAGCGCUCAGUGCAUGUUUAUCCACACCACUUGCUGCUUUUGAAGUGCUCUGUGUGCUGUGACAUUCCCUGUCACAACUGCUGCGUGCUGAACACAUGUAGCUACACUUCUGAUCAACUGAACUGGACUACUUGGUUUCUUCAAGAUUUACUCUUCCUCCUUUUACUCUGAACAUGCCAAACAACUGGAAAUUGGCAAGCAGACCACUGUCACUUUAUUGACAGUUGGAAGAAUCUACAGCUCUUCAAGAAAAUUUUGUAUUUAGCCCUUCUGAAAAGUAUCCAUGUGCUCAUAGUGCUACUAAGUACAAAAGCAUUACACAGAAUCCAAAAGCAUGUAGCUCCUACACAGAAGCCACCCUACAACUUCUAGAGCUUUAUAAAAUCUAUGUGGUAUAGGACCCAGCUACAGAGAUUUCCCAUCACUAACACUGCAGAUAACACCUAUUCCUUGGGGAACACACAUUAUCGUAUCUCCCAGUGUUUUAAGGUGAAAUAUUUACUAGCUUUCAUAGUAAAAAAAAGUACUUUCUGCAGAAUGGCAUGGAGAAUCAGAU